GCCAGCAGCCAUAUCACCCUGCAACUCACAACUGGCAGCCCACUAAAGCCAAGCAGGUGUGAGCCUGGUCAGUACCUGGAUGGAGACCUAAUGGGAAAACUAAGGUUGCUGCUGGAA
Molecule: ribosomal RNA, 117 nt
Organism: Lepisosteus oculatus (spotted gar)
Lineage: Eukaryota; Metazoa; Chordata; Actinopteri; Semionotiformes; Lepisosteidae
Source: Ensembl